CUUAAUAAGGCAAGGGGAAAUUAUUUCCCACCACGGUGUUUUAUUUUUAAAGUAACAUAUUAUCGACAAAUUAUUUGCAGUGAACGAAUGAAAGAGACCACAAAUUUUUUGGACUUUUUUUUUUCUUUUCCUGGCAACACUUUUUGCUUCAUGGCAACCCUUGACUUUUUUUUAAAUGUCAAAGUGUCAGUGGCAAAAUUUCGAGUAAACGAGCGUUGAUUUUUGUGACGAUCCGAAGAAAAAACGAGUUUUUGUUCUACAAAAAAUCCUGAUUGUCAAUCAUGAGUAAGAGAAGAAGUGUAAUGAAAACGCAGAGAGAUAUAGAAGAAGUGUUAGAAAAUCUGUCAGAUUUGUCGGAUAUAGACUCUGACGAUGAUGCAUAUUAUAUAACAGCCCCUUUGAGCAGCCCGGCGGAUGUGUUGGAUGGACGUCAAGAUCAAGAUGCUGUUAUUGAAAAGCGUCUAGAAGCUCUAUUUGGUACUACUGAUACACUUCAGCAAACGAUCGAAGAUCUAGAACAAUAUUCGAUAUAUAAGCGAAAUAAAACACUAUUAUAAGUAAUUCUAAAUUGUUUUAAUCUUCUAGUUUACAAAUUUAUUUCAGGGGUCUACAUAAAAUAAGGCAAAACAGAAAAUUUUAUAUAAGUAACAAUAUGACAAGACUCUUUUUUUAGUUUACUUAUUUUUUUUAUAAUUUUACAAAAAAUACAAACCAAGCCACGGGCUAGUGCUUGUAUAUGGAAAUAAU
Plutella xylostella (diamondback moth) is the source of this 747-nucleotide non-coding RNA. The record is from RefSeq and is a predicted model, not a curated record. NCBI's taxonomy places the organism in Eukaryota, Metazoa, Arthropoda, Insecta, Lepidoptera, Plutellidae.